RNAcentral lists this ribosomal RNA (528 nucleotides) under bacterium T-1-0-5E. Its description in RNAcentral is "bacterial SSU rRNA". It matches the Rfam family "Bacterial small subunit ribosomal RNA", at positions 438 to 957 of the family's 1533-position model. The record is from RNAcentral.
GUUAGAGAAGAACAAGGAUGAGAGUAACUGUUCAUCCCUUGACGGUAUCUAACCAGAAAGCCACGGCUAACUACGUGCCAGCAGCCGCGGUAAUACGUAGGUGGCAAGCGUUGUCCGGAUUUAUUGGGCGUAAAGCGAGCGCAGGCGGUUUCUUAAGUCUGAUGUGAAAGCCCCCGGCUCAACCGGGGAGGGUCAUUGGAAACUGGGAGACUUGAGUGCAGAAGAGGAGAGUGGAAUUCCAUGUGUAGCGGUGAAAUGCGUAGAUAUAUGGAGGAACACCAGUGGCGAAGGCGGCUCUCUGGUCUGUAACUGACGCUGAGGCUCGAAAGCGUGGGGAGCAAACAGGAUUAGAUACCCUGGUAGUCCACGCCGUAAACGAUGAGUGCUAAGUGUUGGAGGGUUUCCGCCCUUCAGUGCUGCAGCUAACGCAUUAAGCACUCCGCCUGGGGAGUACGACCGCAAGGUUGAAACUCAAAGGAAUUGACGGGGGCCCGCACAAGCGGUGGAGCAUGUGGUUUAAUUCGAAGC